CCUACGGGUGGCAGCAGUGAGGAAUAUUGGUCAAUGGGCGCGAGCCUGAACCAGCCAAGUAGCGUGAAGGAUGACUGCCCUCCGGGUUGUAAACUUCUUUUAUAAAGGAAUAAAGUGAGGCCCGUUUGCCAUUUUGUCUGUACUUUAUGAAUAAGGCUCGGGUAACUCCGUGCAAGCAGCCGCGGUAAUACGGAGGCGCCGAGCGUUAUCCGGAUUCAUUGGGUUUAAAGGGCGCGUAGAUGGGUUGUUAAGUCAGUUGUGAAAGUUUGGGGUUCAACCGUAAAAUUGCAAUUGAUACUGGCAGCCUGGAGUACAGGUGAGGUAGGCGGAAUUCGUGGUGUAGCGGUGAAAUGCUUAGAUAUCACGAAGAACUCCGAUUGCGAAGGCAGCCUACUAAACUGCCACUGACAUUGAUGCUCGAAAGUGUGGGUAUCAAACAGGAUUAGAUACCCCAGUAGUC
This 460-nucleotide ribosomal RNA is filed under the name uncultured bacterium. RNAcentral's name for it is "partial 16S ribosomal RNA". It matches the Rfam family "Bacterial small subunit ribosomal RNA", at positions 338 to 795 of the family's 1533-position model. The record is from RNAcentral.